Molecule: ribosomal RNA, 2053 nt
Filed under: Pinus taeda (loblolly pine)
Lineage: Eukaryota; Viridiplantae; Streptophyta; Pinopsida; Pinales; Pinaceae
Description: eukaryotic LSU rRNA
Rfam family: Eukaryotic large subunit ribosomal RNA
Source: RNAcentral
CAUCUACCCUUUGGAAGGUUCAGCUUUCAACCUCCCCUCCUCUGGCCCAAGGCCUGUAUUUAUAGUGUUCUAGAGGAAGUUAUUCAGUUCCAACAUCAAUGGGAUACUCCCUCUUUUGGAUGGGGUAGCUCCUCUCUUGAUGGGAUAAGUUCCUCUAUCAUAGGAGUGCAUGAAACAUCUGGAGGCGCUCAAUACACGUCAAACACUCUUCUAGAAGGCUCUAGAAGUGACCACAAGUAACUUUUUAAAGAUGAAACUCGCGCCUUUUGACCUUUACAGGGGUACGCACCCAUCCUUUGGCUUAUAGAGCGUACACGUACGCAGGUACAGUGUGUUUGGAGUGCGUACACGCAGGCAAGGUAGAGAGAACCUGCGUACCCAGAGAUAAACAUGUUUUUAAGUGACUUUCUCUCUUUUUGAAGUUUGACAUGAAGAGCAAAGGUAUGAGGCUUGACAAGGAGGAUAAUAUGACUAUUGAUGGAGCCAUAUUAACUGCAGAUAGUCAUGGUGACAAAUUUUAGUGUAACAAUAGGGUCUAGUAGCUGGAAGAUCACCACACGUCUUGCGGUGUCUAGUGUGCCCUCGGCGGCCCUUGAAAAUUUGGAGGACCGAGUAGCGUUCAUGCUCGGUCGUACUCAUAAUCGCAUCAGGUCUCCAAGGUGAACAACCUCUGGUAAAAAGAACAAUGUAGGUAAGGGAAGUCAACAAAAUGGAUCCAUAACUUUGGGAAAAGGAUUGGCUCUAAGGGAUGGGCCUAGGGGUCUGUGCCCUCAACUCAUGGGCCGUUGGUAGUCUCCCUCAGCUGCUCUAGUAGUGAUGGCAGGCAGUCGCGUGUUGAUUGGGCUAUGGGCAUAGAAUGCCCCCUGGCGAGGGCUUUUCCCUAGGUGUCAAACAGUGGACUCAGAACUGGUACGGACAAGGGGAAUCUAAUUGUUUAAUUAAAAAAAAGCAUUGCGAUGGUCCCUGCGGAUGCUGACACAAUUUGAUUUCUGCCUAGUGCUCUGAAUGUCAAAGUGAAGAAAUUCAACCAAGUGCGGGUAAACGACGGGAGUAAAUAUGACUCUCUUAAGGUAGCCAAAUGCCUCGUCAUCUAAUUAGUGACAUACAUGAAUGGAUUAACGAGAUUCCCACUAUCCCUAUCUACUAUCUAGUGAAACCACAGCCAAGGGAAUAGGCUUGGUAGAAUCAGCAGGGAAAGAAGACCCUGUUGAGCUUGACUCUUGUUCGACUUUGUGAAAUGACUUGAGAGGUGUAGAAUAAGUGGGAGCCAUUUUUGGCACAAGUGAAAUACCACUGCUUUCAACGUUAUUUUACUUAUUCAGUGGGGCAGAGAUGGGGCACUACCCUUGUUUUUGGCCUUAAGGCGAGUUUCGGCAGGUCGAUCCAGACGAAAGACAUCAUUAGGUGGGGAGUUUGGCUAGGGCAGCAUAUCUGUUAAAAGAUAACACAGGUGUCCUAAGAUGAGCUCAACGAGAACAAAAAUCUCGUGUGGAACAAAAGGGUAAAAGCUCAUCUCAUUUUGAUUUUCAGUACGAAUACAAACCAUGAAAGCGUGGCCUAUCGAUCCUUUAGAUUUUCAGAAUUUGAAGCUAGAGGUGUCAGAAAAGUUACCACAGGGAUACCUGGCUUGUGGCAGCCAAGCGUUCAUAGCGAUGUUGCUUUUUGAUCCUUCGAUGUUGGCUCUUCCUAUCAUUGUGAAGCAGAAUUCACCAAGUGUUGGAUUUUUCACCCACCAAUAGGGAACGUCAGCUAGGUUUAGACCGUCGUGAGAUAGGAUAUUUUUACGCUACUGAUGAACCGCACCACAAUAGUAAUUCAACUUAGUACGAGAAGAAUUGUUGAUUCACACAAUUGGUCAUUGCACUUGGUUGAAAAGCCAGUGGUGGGAAUCUACCAUGUGUCGGAUUAUGACUGAACGCCUCUAAGUCAGAAUCCAUGCUAGAAGCGGUGCAUGUCACUCUUCGACUGUAUCUCAACCCGUAGUAGGGGUGUUGCUUUGUCACCCCCAGGGGCCCGUGUCAUUUGCAAACCAUGACCGUGAAGCAUCUCGGUU